GCCAGCCUGGGCUACAUAGUGAGUUCAAGGACAGUCUAAAUGACAUAGUGAGAUCUUGUCUCAGAGAGAGAGAGAGAAAUUUGGACACAGACAUGCACAGAAGGAAAGCAAUGUGAAGAAACACGAAGAGAGGGUAAAAAAGCCAUGUGAUGAUGGAGACGGAGACUGGGGUGAUGCUGCUGCAGGCCAGGGAGCACCUGACACCACCAGAAUCUAGAAAGAGGAAAGGAAGGAUUCUACCCAGAGUCAGAGAGAACAUGGCCCUUCUGACACCUUGAUUUUAGACUUCUCAUCUCCAGAACUCAAGUGAGUGUGGAGUGAAGCACUGUGGAGAGGAUAAGUGCUAAUUGUCCAGCCACUCAUCACUGGACCUCCCACAUGGUGCUAUCGUUGAGUACACACCCCUCAUGGACUUGCUGAACACCACUGUUGAUAAAUACACGUCCCUUGUGGAUCUUCAGAGUAGCACUGUUGGAUCCAUAUGUGCUUCUCAUGGACGCUUCCCUAUUACCACUUGGACAGCUACCACUUUAUCAAUUUAGAUAUUGCCACAAUUCACAUCCUGCAAUGGUAUCAUAUAUA
This 582-nucleotide long non-coding RNA is filed under the name Heterocephalus glaber (naked mole-rat). RNAcentral's name for it is "lncRNA (ENSHGLG00000041774.1)". The record is from RNAcentral. Lineage: Eukaryota; Metazoa; Chordata; Mammalia; Rodentia; Bathyergidae.